UACGGAGGGUGCAAGCGUUGUCCGGAUUUAUUGGGUUUAAAGGGUGCGUAGGCGGCUCUUUAAGUCAGUGGUGAAAGCCGACAGCUCAACUGUCGAAAUGCCAUUGAUACUGGAGAGCUUGAGUACAGUAGAGGUAGGCGGAAUUGAUGGUGUAGCGGUGAAUUGCAUAGAUACCAUCAAGAACACCGAUUGCGAAGGAAGCUUACUAUAGUGUAACUGACGCUGAGGCACGAAAGUGUGGGGAUCAAACAGG
RNAcentral lists this ribosomal RNA (253 nucleotides) under uncultured bacterium. RNAcentral describes it as "partial 16S ribosomal RNA". It matches the Rfam family "Bacterial small subunit ribosomal RNA", at positions 524 to 776 of the family's 1533-position model. The record is from RNAcentral.